UACGAAGGGGGCUAGCGUUGUUCGGACAUACUAGGCGUAAAGCGCGUGUAAGCGGGCCGUUAAGUCGGGGGUGAAAGCCCAGAGCUCAACUCUGGAACUGCCUUCGAUACUGGCGGCCUGGAGCAUGAUAGAGGCGAGUGGAAUUGCGAGUGUAGAGGUGAAAUUCGUAGAUAUUCGCAGGAACACCAGUGGCGAAGGCGACUCGCUGGAUCAUUGCUGACGCUGAGGCGCGAAAGCGUGGUGAGCAAACAGG
This 253-nucleotide ribosomal RNA is filed under the name uncultured bacterium. RNAcentral's name for it is "partial 16S ribosomal RNA". It matches the Rfam family "Bacterial small subunit ribosomal RNA", at positions 524 to 776 of the family's 1533-position model. The record is from RNAcentral.